CUACCCUCAAGCGCAGCUUGUUUGUUGAGCCAGAUUGUCCCUUAAGUGGACAGGCUUGAAAUGCAGUGGCGAUGCCGAGUUCGGUGCCCGAGCGUAUGGAGCUUUGUCACACGCUUUUGUGGCCCAGCCGGCAUUCUGUCGACUUUUUGAUUUACCUAAG
Molecule: unclassified non-coding RNA, 160 nt
Filed under: uncultured Eurotiales
Lineage: Eukaryota; Fungi; Ascomycota; Eurotiomycetes; Eurotiales
Description: sequence contains ITS2
Source: RNAcentral